GAUGAAGAACGUAGCGAAAUGCGAUAAGUAAUGCGAAUUGCAGAAUUCAGUGAGUCAUCGAAUCUUUGAACGCACAUUACGCCCUGUGGUAUUCCGCAGGGCAUGCCUGUUCGAGCGUCAUUUCAACCCUCAAGCUCUGCUUGGUGUUGGGCCCUGCCCGCUGCGGCCGGCCCUAAAGACAGUGGCGGUGCCGCCUGGCCCUGAGCGUAGUACAUCUCUCGCUCCAGUGCCCGGUGGUAGCCUGCCAGAACCCCAACUCUCGUGGUUGACCUCGGAUCAGGUAGGGAUACCCGCUGAACUUAAGCAUAUCAAUAAGCGGAGGA
This 323-nucleotide unclassified non-coding RNA is filed under the name soil metagenome. Its description in RNAcentral is "partial contains 5.8S ribosomal RNA, internal transcribed spacer 2, and large subunit ribosomal RNA". The stretch from base 1 to 120 matches the Rfam family "5.8S ribosomal RNA", at positions 35 to 154 of the family's 154-position model. The record is from RNAcentral.